RNAcentral lists this ribosomal RNA (497 nucleotides) under uncultured bacterium. RNAcentral's name for it is "partial 16S ribosomal RNA". It matches the Rfam family "Bacterial small subunit ribosomal RNA", at positions 28 to 507 of the family's 1533-position model. The record is from RNAcentral.
GAUGAACGCUGGCGGCGUGCCUAAUGCAUGCAAGUCGAGCGAACAGAUGAGGAGCUUGUUCCUCUCUCGUUAGCGGCGCACGGGUGAGUAACACGUGGAAAACCUUCCUAUAAGACUGGGAUAAUUCCGGGAAACCGGAGCUAAUACCGGAUAAUAUAUUGAACCGCAGGGUUCAAUAGUGAAAGACGGUUUUGCUGUCACUUAUAGCUGGAUCCGCGCCGCAUUAGCUAGUUGGUAAGGUAACGGCUUACCAAGGAAACGAUGCGUAGCCGACCUGUGAGGCUGGUCGGCCACCCUGGAGCUGAGACGCGGUCCAUACUCCUACGGGAGGCCGCAGUAGGGUAUCGUGCGCAUUGGGCGAGAGCCUGGCGGAACAACGGCGCGUGGGUGAGGAAGGCCUUCGGACCGGAAAUCUCUCCUAUUAGGGAAGAACAGAUGUCUAAGGAGCGAUGCACUCCUUGACGGUACCUAGUCAGAAAGCCACGGCUAACUACGUG